RNAcentral lists this unclassified non-coding RNA (586 nucleotides) under Hevea brasiliensis (rubber tree). Lineage: Eukaryota; Viridiplantae; Streptophyta; Magnoliopsida; Malpighiales; Euphorbiaceae. The record is from RNAcentral.
AUACCACAUCACAUAAAGGAAUACAACAGUUAAAACAUGAUCUAUUAAUUUCCAUAACAAACAGCUAGAAAACAUGGUUUUGACUAUUACAACAGCAGUACAAUCGAGGACCUACUAAUUCCGCCAUUAAACAACAAUUUGAGGUCUAAUAAAGACCAAGAGAAAAGAAAACUCCAAAAAAGGGGGAGAAAAUAAAUCACACAAACAAUUCAGCCAAAUUGAACAACUUAAUACAAGAAAAGCAAGAGUGAUCAGUAGGAACUCUAAUCCAUUAGCAAUAUGUUGCACACAGAUGCCUUAAUCUUCCUAAUCAUACCCAAUAUGUAAUUUCUUUUUCCCUUCAAAAUCCUAUCCAUUUGAGUAUAUAACCAUAAAUCACAAUGCUCUACUCUAUGCCAGUCAUUGGAGUAGAAAUUAGGAAUUAAUCACUGCAAUCUUUGUGUUCUCAACUUGUAGUAGUCCAUCAGCUGCGCAGCUCACUUCUUAUCAAGCAGAAACAGUGAAAAGGAUUUCCAUGGAUUUGCAAUAAGCCAUAGAGGGGGAGGGGGAGGGGAGAUACAGUGCAAGAGCAAUAGACGACUUUUGG